Molecule: small RNA, 3341 nt
Filed under: Pongo abelii (Sumatran orangutan)
Lineage: Eukaryota; Metazoa; Chordata; Mammalia; Primates; Hominidae
Description: retained intron
Source: RNAcentral
CAGAAAGUGGCCUUUGACUUUGCUGCCCGAGAGAUGGCUCCAAAUAUGGCAGAGUGGGACCAGAAGGAGCUGUUCCCAGUGGAUGUGAUGCGGAAGGCAGCCCAGCUAGGCUUCGGAGGGGUCUACGUACAAACAGAUGUGGGUGGGUCUGGGCUGUCACGUCUUGAUACCUCUGUCAUUUUUGAAGCCUUGGCUACAGGCUGCACCAGCACCACAGCCUAUAUAAGCAUCCACAACAUGUGUGCCUGGAUGAUUGAUAGCUUCGGAAAUGAGGAACAGAGGCACAAAUUUUGCCCACCACUCUGUACCAUGGAGAAGUUUGCUUCCUACUGCCUCACUGAACCAGGAAGUGGGAGUGAUGCUGCCUCUCUUCUGACCUCCGCUAAGAAACAGGGAGACCAUUACAUCCUCAGUGGCUCCAAGGCCUUCAUCAGUGGUGCUGGUGAGUCAGACAUCUAUGUGGUCAUGUGCCGAACAGGAGGACCAGGCCCCAAGGGCAUCUCAUGCAUAGUUGUUGAGAAGGGGACCCCUGGCCUCAGCUUUGGCAAGAAGGAGAAAAAGGUGGGGUGGAACUCCCAGCCAACACGAGCUGUGAUCUUCGAAGACUGUGCCGUCCCUGUGGCCAACAGAAUUGGGAGCGAGGGGCAGGGCUUCCUCAUUGCCGUGAAAGGACUGAACGGAGGGAGGAUCAAUAUUGCUUCCUGCUCCCUGGGGGCUGCCCACGCCUCUGUCAUCCUCACCCGAGACCACCUCAAUGUCCGGAAGCAGUUUGGAGAGCCUCUGGCCAGUAACCAGUACUUGCAAUUCAAACUGGCUGAUAUGGCAACAAGGCUGGUGGCCGCGCGGCUGAUGAUCCGCAAUGCAGCAGUGGCUCUGCAGGAAGAGAGGAAAGAUGCAGUGGCCUUGUGCUCCAUGGCCAAGCUCUUUGCUACAGAUGAAUGCUUUGCUGCGAGAAACCACCUUUGGAAGGUUCACCGCAGCCCAACUUUAGCACUCUGCCAUGUUUACAUUGUCAGGCUGCAUUGCCACUAGGGGGAACCGUAGCUUUUUAUCAUCGCAGCCAGGGUGGCUGUGGGCAGCUUCUGCCUGGCAGGUAGUAAGGGAGAGGGGUAGAGGGCUUUGAGUCGCCUGUCUGGGGGGAAGUGACAAGUUUAGUAGGUGAACUUCCCUUGUCUCUAACCAUACAGAAUGUGGAGGCCCUCUUUGAGCUUGGCUGUUUGUGGUUCUUUCAUUAGUUUAUGGCGGGCUGCCAGAUCGUGGGCUGGGGUAGGAAGGGAAGCUGCUUGCUCCACAGUCUUCCCAGAGUCCAAGACUAGUCCCUGUCUCCCUGCAGAUCUGCAACCAGGCCUUACAGAUGCACGGGGGCUACGGCUACCUGAAGGAUUACGCUGUUCAGCAGUACGUGCGGGACUCCAGGGUCCACCAGAUUCUAGAAGGUAAAAAUUGCCAGAGGUUAAUCUCUUCCCUUCAGAACGGGGGUGGGAUCGCUGCUUUCCCCACUGUGUCUGUCCCCAUGCCUCCUGGGCCUCAGGGUCCAGUCAAGCCCUGUCUGUCUCGAGGCUUCCUCCUCCCUCCCUCUGUGCAGAGCUGUUCUGGCAGGGGCUUGGUGCACAAAAACAGCUCCAGCCUGGAGUCCAGAGCCUCAGCUUCGUCACCGUGGGUGGGCAUCAGAUCGCUCUGCUACUGCCCUUUUCCUCUGUAGAUUUGCGAGAAGGGUGAACUGAGAUCAUGGAUGAGAAAGCAUGUUGAAACUACAGCCGGGGCUUUUCUCUAAGGUUAUAGAGUACGUGGUUCUCAGGGAUCCAAGAACAGUGAUGUACAAGGCAGAUGUGAGCCAGUAUGGUUAUCAGUAGCUCUAUAUUGAUUAUCAGCCAGAUGGCCUAAAAGAUACCUGAUUCAAUAUUGCUAGUGUAUUUUUCAAUAAAAUAAACCAUCAGUAUAUGAGUAUCUUCUUGGUAGUCACAGACAUUCUGUCUAGGAAACAUGGAAGCCGUUGGGGUUGGGCUCGGAGCCUGGCUGUCUCCACUCUCUACAGCCAGUGUGGAAGUCUUGAAAUGACACGACUCUUGGAAAAGCAGGAGGGGCAGAGGCUUCUUUGAGUGACUUCAGUGAAGCAACGUGAGGCUGCCUUGCUGGAAACAUCAUAUGAUGGGGCUUCCCUGCCCCUUUCACAGCACCCUUCUCAAACCUCAGCCUGUGCUGGAAUCGCCUGGAGGGCAUGGGAACACAGAUUGCGGGCCUCAACCCCAGAGCUUCUGCUCCAGAGGGUCUAGUGUGGGCCUGGGAAUUUGUAUCUGCAACAAGUCUUCAAGUGAGGCUGCCACAGCUUGUCUGAGAACCACACUUUGAGACCCACCACUCUGGUGUUAGUGUCAGAGUCACAGGCUACCACAGGUAGCAAUGAAGUGAUGAGGAUACUGAUCUCUAGAAGCCUGCUUCAGGAGUAGAACCCACACUUGUUCUGGCCUGGUGUUCAGUGCGACUGCAGUCAGUGUUGAGUGGUGCCAUGUGGGCCGCUCUGUUCCAAAUGAAUCAUGGAUUAGACCCAAGGGCUGAGCUCCUCUAGGGCAGGACCUGCACCCUGUGUGUUGGCAGCAGCAUCGGGUCUCGGACUGGGGCAGAAUCCCCAGUGGAACCGGAAGAGCUGGCCUGAUGAGAAAUGUCAGAAGAACACAUACUACUACCUUGUUUUCCUAAUGCCAGAAAGGUGGCCAGUGAAGAUUCACCGUCAAACCAUGAAAGUCCUUUCUUGGAUCCACUUUAUCUUGACUAGUCUGCAUUUUGCUGGUUCACUGGAUCCCUCCUCUAGGGGCCUGGGGACUUUCAUUGAGGCUCUUCCUGAUUCUAGAGCAAAGCUGUGCGAAGGGGAAAUGGGGGAAUGCCCUCCUGUCUGUGUCGUUCUCUGUGCCACAGCUACAGAUGCAGAAGGUUUCUCUGGAUAGCACAUCUCUGAAUGUAAAUCACGAUAAAAUGGAUAUUUGGGAAACUUACUCCUAAGCUGUGAUUUAGGGUAUAUUUCUACUUCUGGACUGCCUCAAUAUCAAGGGCUGAGACUUUUGAAUUUUGAAUAUUCGUUGGGUUUCAUAUUAAGAAGCCUGUGGUCUAGGAAUGGUAUUCAGUGUUUCUCUUCCUGAUAAACACUUUGAAUAUUUUUUUUGUGUUUUUGUUUCCUUUUCUGAAGUUAUUCCUCUUUUUAAAUAUUUUUAAUCACAUUGAUAAAAUCUACCCUUCACCACCUCUGGUUCUACUAAAGUUGAUUUUUAUUUUAAAUGUUUAAUUGUAUUUGAUUAAACACUUAACUGGAUUUUGGAAUAAUAAAACUCUCGUCCAAUUUGGCUUUU